AUACGUAGGGGGCGAGCGUUAUCCGGAUUUAUUGGGCGUAAAGCGUGUGUAGGCGGUUUGUUAAGUUUAAGAUUAAAGCCCGAGGCUUAACCUCGGUUCGUCUUAAAAACUGGCAGACUUGAGUGCAGUAGAGGCAAGUGGAAUUUCUAGGGUAGCGGUUAAAUGCGUAGAUAUUAGAAGGAACACCAGUGGCGAAGGCGGCUUGCUGGGCUGUUACUGACGCUGAGACACGAAAGCGUGGGGAGCAAAUAGGAUUAGAUACCCUAGUAGUCCACGCCGUAAACGAUGAGUACUAAGUGUCGGGUAACCGGUGCUGAAGUUAACACAUUAAGUACUCCGCCUGAGUAGUACGGUCGCAAGGCUGAAACUCAAAUGAAUUGACGGGG
RNAcentral lists this ribosomal RNA (386 nucleotides) under uncultured bacterium. Its description in RNAcentral is "partial 16S ribosomal RNA". It matches the Rfam family "Bacterial small subunit ribosomal RNA", at positions 523 to 918 of the family's 1533-position model. The record is from RNAcentral.